This 365-nucleotide ribosomal RNA is filed under the name uncultured organism. RNAcentral describes it as "bacterial SSU rRNA". It matches the Rfam family "Bacterial small subunit ribosomal RNA", at positions 526 to 896 of the family's 1533-position model. The record is from RNAcentral.
CGGAGGAUCCAAGCGUUAUCCGGAAUCAUUGGGUUUAAAGGGUCCGUAGGCGGUUUAGUAAGUCAGUGGUGAAAGCCCAUCGCUCAACGGUGAACGGCCAUUGAUACUGCUAAACUUGAAUUAUUGGGAAGUAACUAGAAUAUGUAGUGUAGCGGUGAAAUGCUUAGAGAUUACAUGGAAUACCAAUUGCGAAGGCAGGUUACUACCAAUAUAUUGACGCUGAUGGACGAAAGCGUGGGGAGCGAACAGGAUUAGAUACCCUGGUAGUCCACGCCGUAAACGAUGGAUACUAGCUGUUCGGAGCAAUCUGAGUGGCUAAGCGAAAGUGAUAAGUAUCCCACCUGGGGAGUACGUUCGCAAGAAUG